This 156-nucleotide ribosomal RNA is filed under the name uncultured bacterium. RNAcentral's name for it is "partial 16S ribosomal RNA". It matches the Rfam family "Bacterial small subunit ribosomal RNA", at positions 355 to 508 of the family's 1533-position model. The record is from RNAcentral.
UGAGGAAUAUUGGUCAAUGGUCGCAAGACUGAACCAGCCAUGCCGCGUGCAGGAAGACGGUCCUAUGGAUUGUAAACUGCUUUUGUACAGGAAGAAACACUGGUUCGUGAACCAGCUUGACGGUACUGUUAGAAUAGGAAUCGGCUAACUCCGUGC